GCUCGCGUUGACUACGUCCCUGCCCUUUGUACACACCGCCCGUCGCUCCUACCGAUUGAAUGGUCCGGUGAAGUGUUCGGAUCGCGGCGACGGGGGCGGUUCGCCGCCCCCGACGUCGCGAGAAGUCCAUUGAACCUUAUCAUUUAGAGGAAGGAGAAGUCGUAACAAGGUUUCCGUAGGUGAACCUGCGGAAGGAUCAUUG
Molecule: ribosomal RNA, 202 nt
Filed under: Peyritschia bealii
Lineage: Eukaryota; Viridiplantae; Streptophyta; Magnoliopsida; Poales; Poaceae
Description: partial 18S ribosomal RNA
Rfam family: Eukaryotic small subunit ribosomal RNA
Source: RNAcentral